GUCUACGGCUAUACCACCCUGAACACAUCUGAUCUUGGAAGCUAAGCAGGGUCAGCCUGAUUACUACUUGGAUGAGAGAUUUUGGUGGGUUUUAGCUGGCUUCUUCU
This 107-nucleotide ribosomal RNA is filed under the name Nomascus leucogenys (northern white-cheeked gibbon). Lineage: Eukaryota; Metazoa; Chordata; Mammalia; Primates; Hylobatidae. The record is from RNAcentral.